UUGACCUCAAAUCAGGUAGGACUACCCGCUGAACUUAAGCAUAUCAAUAAGCGGAGGAAAAGAAACUAACAAGGAUUCCCCUAGUAACUGCGAGUGAAGCGGGAAAAGCUCAAAUUUAAAAUCUGGUAGUCUUCGGCUGCCCGAGUUGUAAUCUAGAGAAGCAUUAUCUGCGCUGGACCGUGUACAAGUGUCCUGGAAUGGACCAUCAUAGAGGGUGAGAAUCCCGUCUUUGACACGGACUCCCAGGGCUUUGUGAUGUGCUCUCAAAGAGUCGAGUUGUUUGGGAAUGCAGCUCUAAAUGGGUGGUAAAUUCCAUCUAAAGCUAAAUAUUGGCGAGAGACCGAUAGCGAACAAGUACCGUGAGGGAAAGAUGAAAAGAACUUUGGAAAGAGAGUUAAACAGUACGUGAAAUUGCUGAAAGGGAAACGCUUGAAGUCAGUCGCGUUGGCUGGGGAUCAACCUUGCUUUUUUGCUUGGCUUACUUCCCAGUUGACGGGUCAGCAUCAGUUUUGACCGGUGGAUAAAGGCUAGGGGAAUGUGGCACCCUCGGGUGUG
Molecule: ribosomal RNA, 555 nt
Filed under: Termitomyces sp.
Lineage: Eukaryota; Fungi; Basidiomycota; Agaricomycetes; Agaricales; Lyophyllaceae
Description: partial 28S ribosomal RNA
Rfam family: Eukaryotic large subunit ribosomal RNA
Source: RNAcentral